RNAcentral lists this ribosomal RNA (582 nucleotides) under uncultured Bacteroidota bacterium. RNAcentral describes it as "bacterial SSU rRNA". It matches the Rfam family "Bacterial small subunit ribosomal RNA", at positions 336 to 918 of the family's 1533-position model. Lineage: Bacteria; Pseudomonadati; Bacteroidota. The record is from RNAcentral.
UUCCUACGGGAGGCAGCAGUGAGGAAUAUUGGACAAUGGGCGAGAGCCUGAUCCAGCCAUGCCGCGUGCAGGAAGACUGUCCUAUGGGUUGUAAACUGCUUUUAUACGGGAAGAAACACCCCCUCGUGAGGGGGCUUGACGGUACCGUAAGAAUAAGGAUCGGCUAACUCCGUGCCAGCAGCCGCGGUAAUACGGAGGAUCCAAGCGUUAUCCGGAAUCAUUGGGUUUAAAGGGUCCGUAGGUGGACGGUUAAGUCAGAGGUGAAAUCCUGCAGCUCAACUGUAGAAUUGCCUUUGAUACUGGUCGUCUUGAGUCAUUGUGAAGUGGUUGGAAUAUGUAGUGUAGCGGUGAAAUGCAUAGAUAUUACAUAGAACACCGAUUGCGAAGGCAGAUCACUAACAAUGUACUGACACUGAUGGACGAAAGCGUGGGGAGCGAACAGGAUUAGAUACCCUGGUAGUCCACGCCGUAAACGAUGGUCACUAGCUGUCCGGACUUCGGUCUGGGUGGCUAAGCGAAAGUGAUAAGUGACCCACCUGGGGAGUACGUUCGCAAGAAUGAAACUCAAAUGAAUUGACGGAA